Selaginella moellendorffii is the source of this 302-nucleotide long non-coding RNA. RefSeq lists it as uncharacterized. The record is from RefSeq and is a predicted model, not a curated record. The transcript is spliced from 3 exons. NCBI's taxonomy places the organism in Eukaryota, Viridiplantae, Streptophyta, Lycopodiopsida, Selaginellales, Selaginellaceae.
UACUAACUUUUCGUGGUCCCAACUCCAGAGCUGAAACGGCUUAUUGGAUGUAUGUAUGCAUUGCGUGCAUGGGAUGUUAGUGCAUACAUGCCCAUCGAUGUGAUGCAUUAAAGCUUCGCCAUCGUGCUUCUCGUGGAGUGGUGCCGAUAAACCCAGUCGAUCUCUUGCUUGGAGCGCCUGCAACAGCAGUUUGUGCUGAAGGCAGCGACGAAAAACACGAGAGCUUGUACGAGAAAUCCAAACAACGAUCCGGAGAGCAGUCCCUGUGCACACAAGAUGAAAAAGCUCCAAGCGUGAACAAC